CACCGGCAGCCCAAGUGGUGGCCAUUUUUAUUGGGCCUAAAGCGUUCGUAGCCGGCCUGAUAAGUCUCUGGUGAAAUCCCGCAGCUUAACUGUGGGAAUUGCUGGAGAUACUAUCAGGCUUGAGGUCGGGAGAGGUUAGAGGUACUCCCAGGGUAGGGGUGAAAUCCUAUAAUCCUGGGAGGACCACCUGUGGCGAAGGCGUCUAACUGGAACGAACCUGACGGUGAGUAACGAAAGCCAGGGGCGCGAACCGGAUUAGAUACCCCGAGUAGUCC
This 275-nucleotide ribosomal RNA is filed under the name uncultured bacterium. RNAcentral's name for it is "partial 16S ribosomal RNA". It matches the Rfam family "Archaeal small subunit ribosomal RNA", at positions 474 to 747 of the family's 1478-position model. The record is from RNAcentral.